AAAAUAUAAAACGCGUGCGCAUAGUACGCUUGAAACUUGUAUAUGAAUAAUACUAUCAUGACAGAAGAACUUUCCGGUGUAACUAUAGUGAUUUUCAUCGCUGUUGGAGUCUUAACGAUAUUAUUGUUGUUUAUAUUCGGAAAACGACAAAUUAUGAGAUUUGCAUUACGAUCACGUCGCGGUCCUCAUAUCCCUAUCGGACACGAUGCACGAAAGUCACUGAAGAAGGAGAUUGAAAGACGAAUAGAAGUAAUACCAAGAAUUCAGUAUGAACCACAGCUUAUUAGUGAUCCAAGGCUUAUUUUAACUUCACGGGGACAGGUUCCACCACAUUAUUAUAGAUUAAAAGCUGUAGAUGAUGUUAAGACCUUAGAAGCUGAAAUUACUAAAUAUGAUAAUUGCUUAAAAAGACAUCCAUCUGAAAAUUUACGAGCAUAUUUACUUGCCGUAUUGGCAACACCAUUGAAUGGAAGUGGCCAAAGAUUAAUUCACCAAUUCUGCGAUUUAUAUGAACAUGCGCGACACGAUCCUACUGAGUUUGGAGAUGAGGAAUAUCAAGUAUAUACUCGUUUAUUUCUUAAAUUAAUGGAUGCAGCUCGUUUAUUGAAAUCAUAUCCUAGCAGUAGAAAAUCUAGUCCAAGUCGUACGCCUAUAAAGAAAAACAUUGAGACGAAACGGAACAUAUUGGAACCCAAAAUGAAACUGCUCGAUGAUCAAACAUUGACUGGAUCACGUCCGAAUACAUUAACAGUGAUGAUGCUGGAUAAUAGUGAAACAUCUGUUUAGCAUUAUGAAAAUCGUCACAUACAGCAUAUGUGACGAAAUAUUUAUUCGUAAUUGUUGAUUUUCACAUUAUAUGGAAUUGCAAUAACAAACACAUUUUGCGAUAGAAAUUAUUUCUAUCCAAUAUACAUAUACAACUUGCGAUUAAAUACCGAUGUCAGUUUUAAUCGAUAAAUAUUUAGUCCAUACAUUUUUAUAAUAUGGAUUAUGUCUUAAGCAAAUCAAUGCUCGAUGAAACGUGUAUUUAUAUGUAUUAGAAAUAUUACUUGUUCUCAUAUAAUUUAACCAUUCCAUUACCUAAAAGAUACAUAAUAUUUUUAAUAGACUGUUAAUUCUGGAGUAACUGUAUAACUUUCAUUGGAAAUAUGUUAAUUUGUUAAAUUAUUACUCACACUAAGUUAGAUUAUUUUGUAAAGAAAUAAAAAUAAUCGUGAAUACCUGUGGAAUUGCAUGUUUCCAAUCCUCUCUAUUGGAAAGAACCAUUAGAGCUUGAGGAAAUAAUUUUGUUCUGACAUUUUGUGAUUUAAUUAUUACAUCUUGUUUCAUUAACAUGGAAUCUAUGCCAGAUAAACUAACAAUAGAGAUAAAUAAAAUAUUACAAUAGAA
Molecule: RNA transcript, 1389 nt
Organism: Frieseomelitta varia
Lineage: Eukaryota; Metazoa; Arthropoda; Insecta; Hymenoptera; Apidae
Gene name: protein C1orf43 homolog
Exons: 5
Source: RefSeq, a predicted model, not a curated record